RNAcentral lists this small nuclear RNA (144 nucleotides) under Tinamus guttatus (white-throated tinamou). RNAcentral's name for it is "U4 spliceosomal RNA". It matches the Rfam family "U4 spliceosomal RNA". Rfam says of the family: U4 small nuclear RNA (U4 snRNA) is a component of the major U2-dependent spliceosome. The structure of U4 snRNA from yeast and human has been reported. U4 snRNA presents a k-turn RNA motif in the 5p-SL related to recognition of Snu13 protein. The record is from Rfam by way of RNAcentral. Lineage: Eukaryota; Metazoa; Chordata; Aves; Tinamiformes; Tinamidae.
AACUUUGCGCAGUGGCAGUAUCAUGGCCAAUGAGGUUAAUCUGAGGUGCGACUAUUGCUAAUUGAAACAUUCUACGAAACUCCUCUCACAGGGGCUAUUUCAGGCCCUUUGGUAAGAGAGGAUAUAAGAAAAUUGUGCAUAAAG